UGGAGGAGUUUGAUCCUGGCUCAGACUUGAUCACGCUGGCGGCAGGCCUAACACACGCAAGUCGAGCGGUAACAGGAGAAAGCUUGCUUUCUUGCUGACGAGCGGCGGACGGGUGAGUAAUGUAUGGGGAUCUGCCCGAUAGAGGGGGAUAACUACUGGAAACGGUGGCUAAUACCGCAUGACGUCUACGGACCAAAGCAGGGGCUCUUCGGACCUUGCGCUAUCGGAUGAACCCAUAUGGGAUUAGCUAGUAGGUGGGGUAAAGGCUCACCUAGGCGACGAUCUCUAGCUGGUCUGAGAGGAUGAUCAGCCACACUGGGACUGAGACACGGCCCAGACUCCUACGGGAGGCAGCAGUGGGGAAUAUUGCACAAUGGGCGCAAGCCUGAUGCAGCCAUGCCGCGUGUAUGAAGAAGGCCUUAGGGUUGUAAAGUACUUUCAGCGGGGAGGAAGGUGUUAAGAUUAAUACUCUUAGCAAUUGACGUUACCCGCAGAAAAAGCACCGGCUAACUCCGUGCCAGCAGCCGCGGUA
RNAcentral lists this ribosomal RNA (532 nucleotides) under Proteus vulgaris. RNAcentral's name for it is "bacterial SSU rRNA". It matches the Rfam family "Bacterial small subunit ribosomal RNA", at positions 1 to 522 of the family's 1533-position model. The record is from RNAcentral. Lineage: Bacteria; Pseudomonadati; Pseudomonadota; Gammaproteobacteria; Enterobacterales; Morganellaceae.